UACGGAAGGCAGCAGUGGGGAAUAUUGCACAAUGGGCGCAAGCCUGAUGCAGCCAUGCCGCGUGUAUGAAGAAGGCCUUCGGGUUGUAAAGUACUUUCAGUCGUGAGGAAGGUGUUAAGGUUAAUAACCUUAGCAAUUGACGUUAGCGACAGAAGAAGCACCGGCUAACUCCGUGCCAGCAGCCGCGGUAAUACGGAGGGUGCGAGCGUUAAUCGGAAUUACUGGGCGUAAAGGGCACGCAGGCGGUUAAUUAAGUUGGAUGUGAAAUCCCCGGGCUUAACCUGGGAAUGGCAUUCAAGACUGGUUAGCUAGAGUCUUGUAGAGGGGGUAGAAUUCCAUGUGUAGCGGUGAAAUGCGUAGAGAUGUGGAGGAUACCGGUGGCGAAGGCGGCCCCUGGACAAGACUGACGCUCAUGUGCGAAAGCGUGGGGAGCAAACGAGGGAUUAGAUACC
Molecule: ribosomal RNA, 452 nt
Filed under: uncultured bacterium
Lineage: Bacteria
Description: bacterial SSU rRNA
Rfam family: Bacterial small subunit ribosomal RNA
Source: RNAcentral